Mastomys coucha (southern multimammate mouse) is the source of this 2932-nucleotide long non-coding RNA. RefSeq lists it as uncharacterized. The record is from RefSeq and is a predicted model, not a curated record. The transcript has 2 exons. Lineage: Eukaryota; Metazoa; Chordata; Mammalia; Rodentia; Muridae.
AAAAAAAAAAAAGAAUAACAAAAUAAAACCAAAUCCCAGCACCCGGGACAGUGAGGCAGGGAGAAAUCCAGUCUGAGAACCUAGCUUGGGCUACAUUGUAAAACACCAGCCUGGGCUACAUUGCAAAACAAAUGCAGAUGGGUGGAGUCUUAGCCACAGGUUUAUUGCAGCGGCUGUCGUAGCUCACGCUGACGGCUGGAUCCAGCUCCAAGACCCUCUCUGCUCCCAGCUCCAAGACCCUCUCUGCUCCUCCCCGCCUCCGGCACCUGAGGUAAUGAGGCCGUUGAGGUCUCUGAGGAUAGCUCGGAAGGAAGGGCGCUGGCCAGGAUCGUACGCCAUGCACUGUGCGAUAAGCCCCGCCAGUUCUGUCCAUUUGAGGGCGGGCAGCUGUCCCCGGUCCUCGUAGAACUUCAGCUUCUGAGGGACGAGGGUUCCGUUCAGUGUUGAGAUGCCCAUCACAUGAUUUAACCCUACCCUCACGACACCCCCUUCCCACACCGGGCUCCGAAGUCCGACACCACCAGUUCCGACCUUGGCGGGCUCCAGCGAGGUGAUGUGCGCCGGUCCCCCGCUGAACACCUCCCACGUGGUGGCGCCAAAGCCCCACUUGUCAGCCUCCAAGCCGAGCGUCUGGGCUUCCUGGAGACACUCGGGGGCCACCCAGGGUAUCCUGUCGGUGAGCACUGGAGAAAGGGAGUGGGGCUUUGAGAAUGGUCAUGGUCACCUUCUGCACGAAGUGCCCCCUUUGCCAGCGCAGGCCCUGUGCAACCCCGUGUGGCUGCACACACAGAAGACAGCCGGUACAGUCAGGUGAGGCUAGCCUGUACUCACUUUCCAGGCUCAGCACAGUUGGACUGACACCAGGAUCACUCAGCUUGAUGAAAGGUGGAUUCCCAUCAACCCCCUCGCGAGCCAGGAGCACCUUCCGUGCGGAGACGUUGCCGUGAGGGAGACCUUUGUCCUCCUAAGUGUUACAGGCACAAAGAAGUGUGGCUCAGGUGUCACCUCCUCCAGGAAGCCAUCCUGGCACCAGCAGUGAACCAACCUGGACACAGGCUGUAAGAAGAAAACUGUCAUAGUCCUGCGGGCUGCGGCGGAGAAUGUAGGAGCCCGGGAGGGAGCCAGCGGCCUUCAGCUUGUGAAUGGCAAAGUCUAACCUAGGCCAAGACAGCAGCCAGGUCCAAUCCAGACAAUUCCCGCUGCCCAGCCCCGUCCCCACUGUGACCCCAACCAGCUCCUCACGUGAUAGGUCCAUGGCACAGCUCCGCCUCCUCCUCCAGCAGCCGCGGCGGCGCUACCUCCUUGCAGAAGUAAUGCCUGGAGUCGCAGGUCAGGCGGAAGUACCCAUCCACGAGGGCCACGAAGGACAGUGCCUCAGGCAGCCCCGGGAACUCCGCUUCCUGCACGGGAGAACUUUUCAGCAACCACAGAGUCCACCCCUCUCCCAGGGUCAGCACCAGAACAACGGGUGCCAAGACUCACCAGGAUGUGACCGUCCAUCCUGGUGAUGGUGACCAGCCGGUGCUCCCCUGCGGGACCCACGCGUGGGGCCUGCUUUAUGCUGACAUCCACGAUUUCGGGAAAGUCACAGAAGGUCUGAAAAAGCUGAGGAAGAAAGGACAGGCAGAAGCUGGGGGAUUACAGACCUGAUACAGCACAACUCCCGUUCUUCCUCCUUCCCACCUCCACUUACGAGGGGGUGUGGGGGACUGAGACUGGCCUGGUCAAGUCACGCCUACCGACCUAAUCCAGACCGUCCCUGCCCCCUAUCUAGUCCCACCCUUCUGGUUACGCCCCCAGGUCCAGUCCCUGGGUAGCUCCACCCCCGGACCCGUCUCUAAUUGACCCCACCCCCGUCAGGCCGUCCCACCCCGACUAGUCCCUUUCCUGAUUGGUUCCUCCUUCUUUCCUAACCGCCACGCCUCCCCGCAGACCCUGCUCCUCAAAGCUCGUCCCCAGCACCUCCAGGUCCCCGGAGCUCCAGGCGAUGCCGUUGCUCCCUGCCACACGCAGGAGCCCCGGCUCCUCCUGGGCGCCCGGGAGCCCCACGCUGAAGGCCUCGGUGGUGGCCGCUGGAUGUAGCCGCUCCAGGUCCAGGAUGUACUUGGCCAUGAGCGCGUAGCGGUCGGCCUGGCAGGCGACCACGCGGCGCAGCGCCUGGACCACGGUCCUGCGGAUGCGCCUACGUGUCACGAAGUUCUGGCCCUGGAUCACAUCGCGCAGGCUGGGCGGCAGACAGGCUUUGUAACUGUGGGUGGGGGUCACGCCGAGUGUUUAAGGUGGUGAGGGGGCCCGAAGGACACACGAGACAGACAUGGAGGACCUUUCGGCAGGAGCAGGCUGACGGAGAGGAUAGCUGCACAAGUCGACGUUGGGAAGGAGGUAUGUGUAGGAGUUUGGUAAAGGAAAACGAUAGGGCCCUAGAUCCGCAGCCAAAGGAGACUACAGAGAGGUGGCCCGAGGUCCUCACCUGACGAUCUUCAGCAGCUCUCCUGGCCGCUGGGCCUGCUCACGAGCCAUCUGGGCCAAGUCCAGCACGGCCAGACUCAGGAACUCUCCCUGGUCCUUCAGGCUAAGGCCCACUGGGAGGCGCCCACUCACUAGGUCACUGCGGUGCUGGGUCAGCCACAGGAGGGUGGUUAGGUGAGGUUCUGACCUGGGAGCUGGGAUUUGUUACCUUGGGGUCCCCCAUCCCUGGGUUGAGCCUUCCCCACCGAAGAAUACCAACCUGAGCAAAGAGAUGUUCUAAAACAUGUACGUCAAGGAUGGCACUGGUCAAAUCUUUGCGCAGCCCAAAGCGGUGACAUGUCUCCAGGCCAAACCAGUCAGGGAAAUAAAAGCUGUGGGUUCCAGAACGGGGUGGCCCACUCAGCUCUGGCUUCCCAGAGCCUAAGUUGGGUCACUGAAGUGCUGUGUGGCCUACAGCAAACAG